Mus musculus (house mouse) is the source of this 1135-nucleotide long non-coding RNA. RefSeq annotates it as predicted gene, 36849. The transcript is spliced from 3 exons. NCBI's taxonomy places the organism in Eukaryota, Metazoa, Chordata, Mammalia, Rodentia, Muridae. The record is from RefSeq and is marked validated.
ACACAACGACAUGGUGUGAGAAAGGCCUCGUUGGUGGUUGAUGGGCAUCAGCCCAUGGAAUCAAGGAAACCCUGGGGUUAGGGGCACUAGUGUAGGAAGGCCAUACUGUCCCCACCCAUCGCAAAGGGUUCUGCUCAGAGCCCCUUUGACCAUGGCCUGUCAGAAUGACCUUUUUCUAUUCUGUAUACAGUAUGGGGGCACUGUGUCUUUGUAGAACUCCCGUCUUUGUCCUGCUGUAGGGUAAUACUGUGUGGAGCUCACCCAUCCAUUGGAUAGUGACCAGGGUAACCAAGCUAACAAUGCCAUGGUUGAGCAAAGCCACAAGCAGUGUCUUCACAGAAGGCACUCAGCUUUUCCAGAUGCUUCUGAGAAGAUGAGACAAGUGGGGACUGGCACCUUCAAGGAGACAAGCAAGGCCACCUGAGGGUGCUUUGUGCCCAAGCCGAGCAGCCCCAUCGCUGGAUUUGUCAGUGGGUCACCUACUGCGCUUCUCGGAAGGCAUGGCAGCUGUUGAGUACAGCUCUCCGUCAUCUCACGCACCGUCAUCAGGAUUAAGCAGCAAGAACAUUUUCAGAGACUGACUUUGAGAAUAAGCAAUUGUGCACAAGAGUAAAUAUUGAAUCCUGGCAGCCUGUUAGCAAAGACUUAAAAAUGAACCGCAAAUCUAAUUUCCUAAGCCUGUUCAGAUUGUAGCUUUGUCAUUACUAAGUCCCUCAGUUUGAAUUAUGAAAUACGCCUGAACCAUUGAAUAUUCAGAUUAUAAUCUUAGCAGAGGUGAAUAUAGCUGCCAAUGCUGUGUUUAAACCUCAUAUAUAACAGGACGCACACACACGGCAUCUGGAUCCUCUGCUGAGCGUCGAUUAAAAUGUUCAUUUGUGGAAGGCUGAUGAUUUUGCUUAACUUUUUUAUUCUCUUUUGUAAAUUAAGAAACCAGUAAGAGUAGGACUUUAUUCUAUCAAUGGGUUUGCUCCAUGUCACAGAUUUCAUGUACAGGGUCACUUGGAAUAGAAUGUGUAGAGAAAGAAUCUCAUUAGGCUAAAAUGAGUGUAAAAUGUGUCAAUUUGAUCCAAAUGAGAAUUGUAGUAAAACCAUGUUUGAUGUUCAUGUGCAAUAAAUCUUUAACAUUUGCUGUGAA